Non-coding RNA from Caenorhabditis elegans, 100 nucleotides. NCBI's taxonomy places the organism in Eukaryota, Metazoa, Nematoda, Chromadorea, Rhabditida, Rhabditidae. The record is from Ensembl.
GCAAAAAACCGUGCAAAAUUACGCCCCGCCCCUUUUUCGAUGCGGCGUGCUUGCUUUUCACGGAUCUUCCUGAAAAAGUUGAUUUUCUUGAAAUUCCCGU